AGACACACACACACACACACACACACACACACACACACACACACACACACUGUAGUGACCCAGACACAAAAAAUUCACACUGACAUAUAAAUGGCUUAACAGCACA
Alosa sapidissima (American shad) is the source of this 106-nucleotide long non-coding RNA. RefSeq lists it as uncharacterized. The record is from RefSeq and is a predicted model, not a curated record. Lineage: Eukaryota; Metazoa; Chordata; Actinopteri; Clupeiformes; Clupeidae. The transcript has 2 exons.